AACCCUUGUCAUUAGUUGCCAUCAUUUAGUUGGGCACUCUAAUGAGACUGCCGGUGACAAACCGGAGGAAGGUGGGGAUGACGUCAAGUCCUCAUGGCCCUUAUGGGUAGGGCUUCACACGUCAUACAAUGGUCGGUACAGAGGGUUGCCAAGCCGCGAGGUGGAGCCAAUCCCUUAAAGCCGAUCGUAGUCCGGAUCGUAGUCUGCAACUCGACUACGUGAAGUCGGAAUCGCUAGUAAUCGCAGAUCAGCAUGCUGCGGUGAAUACGUUCCCGGGUCUU
RNAcentral lists this ribosomal RNA (281 nucleotides) under uncultured Thauera sp. Its description in RNAcentral is "partial 16S ribosomal RNA". It matches the Rfam family "Bacterial small subunit ribosomal RNA", at positions 1100 to 1382 of the family's 1533-position model. The record is from RNAcentral. Lineage: Bacteria; Pseudomonadati; Pseudomonadota; Betaproteobacteria; Rhodocyclales; Zoogloeaceae.